UCGGGAAUUUUGGGCAAUGGGCGAAAGCCUGACCCAGCAACGCCGCGUGAGGGAUGAAGUAUUUCGGUAUGUAAACCUCGAAAGAAUGGGAAGAAUAAAUGACGGUACCAUUUAUAAGCUCCGGCUAACUACGUGCCAGCAGCCGCGGUAAUACGUAGGGAGCAAGCGUUGUCCGGAUUUACUGGGUGUAAAGGGCGCGCAGGCGGGAUAAAAAGUCAGUGGUGAAAUCCUACAGCUUAACUGUAGAACUGCCUUUGAUACUUUUAUUCUUGAGUUCGGGAGAGAGAGACGGAAUUCCAGGUGUAGUGGUGAAAUACGUAGAUAUCUGGAAGAACACCAGUUGCGAAGGCGGUCUCUUGGUCCGACACUGACGCUGAGGCGCGAAAGCGUGGGGAGCAAACA
This 402-nucleotide ribosomal RNA is filed under the name uncultured bacterium. RNAcentral's name for it is "bacterial SSU rRNA". It matches the Rfam family "Bacterial small subunit ribosomal RNA", at positions 355 to 774 of the family's 1533-position model. The record is from RNAcentral.